This 301-nucleotide ribosomal RNA is filed under the name uncultured bacterium. RNAcentral describes it as "partial 16S ribosomal RNA". It matches the Rfam family "Bacterial small subunit ribosomal RNA", at positions 509 to 807 of the family's 1533-position model. The record is from RNAcentral.
CAGCAGCCACGGGAAAACGAAGGGGGCUAGCGUUGUUCGGAAUUACUGGGCGUAAAGGGCGCGUAGGCGGCCAUUCAAGUUAGAUGUGAAAGCCCUGGGCUCAACCUAGGAAUUGCAUUUGAUACUGUUUGGCUUGAGUUCGGGAGAGGUGAGUGGAAUUCCCAGUGUAGAGGUGAAAUUCGUAGAUAUUGGGAAGAACACCAGUGGCGAAGGCGGCUCACUGGACCGACACUGACGCUGAGGCGCGAAAGCGUGGGGAGCAAACAGGAUUAGAUACCCCAGUAGUCCCUGUCUCUUAUAC